CCAUCACAAAAGUUUAAUCUAAACUUGGUCUCAUAGUCUUCACAAAUGCUCACUGAAGAAAAUUCCCAGGAUGAUUCAGGGGUCUCUUAAAACUUCUGCUCCAAGACAUUGAUAAAGAACCUUAGUAACUUGACUAUCAACCCUAGUACUGAAUUCCCUUCCUCUCUACCAGAAGGUUCACCCCAAUGGUAUACAGGAGCAACAAUCCUCAGGGAAGCCAGAUGACUUGCUUUACAGGGGGAGGGGAGUAAGAAUUUUGCUGUAUGUGUAGAAAGAAAGAAUGGCAAGAAUAAGAUACAUGUUACUCAGCAGAGUUCCUAGGCUUGAAAGAGAACUAAGAAAUAUUAGUCAUAAGGGAGUUCAGAAUGAACCAAGAAGUGGGUGAUUCAGAUGGUGUAGCAGUGUCUGCAUGUAUAACAGUUGGGAUCCUUCUGAGAAUGCUAGAAUAGAAUUAUGACACUGAGCCACUUCAGCCA
This 476-nucleotide long non-coding RNA is filed under the name Homo sapiens (human). RNAcentral describes it as "non-protein coding lnc-RALYL-6:1". The record is from RNAcentral. Lineage: Eukaryota; Metazoa; Chordata; Mammalia; Primates; Hominidae.